UGGGGGAAUAUUGGGCAAUGGGGGAAACCCGUGACCCAGCGACGCCGCGUGAGGGAAGAAGGUCUUCGGAUUGUAAACCUCUUUCAGCAGGGAAGAUAAUGACGGUACCUGCAGAAGAAGCCACGGCUAACUACGUGCCAGCAGCCGCGGUAAUACGUAGGUGGCAAGCGUUAUCCGGAUUUAUUGGGCGUAAAGGGUGUGUAGGCGGGGCUGCAAGUCAGACGUGAAAUCAUGGGCUCAACCCAUGACCUGCGUUUGAAACUGCGGCUCUUGAGAGUGGGAGAGGUAAACGGAAUUCCUGGUGUAGCGGUGAAAUGCGUAGAUAUCAGGAGGAACACCGGUGGCGAAGGCGGUUUACUGGACCACAACUGACGCUGAGACACGAAAGCGUGGGGAGCAAACAGGGAUUAGAUACCCU
RNAcentral lists this ribosomal RNA (418 nucleotides) under uncultured Micrococcineae bacterium. Its description in RNAcentral is "bacterial SSU rRNA". It matches the Rfam family "Bacterial small subunit ribosomal RNA", at positions 354 to 788 of the family's 1533-position model. The record is from RNAcentral. Lineage: Bacteria; Bacillati; Actinomycetota; Actinomycetes; Micrococcales.